Brienomyrus brachyistius is the source of this 4550-nucleotide long non-coding RNA. RefSeq lists it as uncharacterized. NCBI's taxonomy places the organism in Eukaryota, Metazoa, Chordata, Actinopteri, Osteoglossiformes, Mormyridae. The record is from RefSeq and is a predicted model, not a curated record. The transcript is spliced from 2 exons.
GUCCCCUGAAGUUUUCAAAAGAGCACAAGAAUUAAAUGAAUUAAUAAUGCAGGGAAAUCUGAGCUGGAGAGAAAAUGCAACCAGUACGUGGAACUCAGGAAGAUGAAUCACUGGGUCUGACACAGCGGAGUGAGCUGGGAGGUCAUCCCUCUGAUUAUGAGGUUCAACAUUCAUUUAGUUUGAGUCUGAUGACUGAUCAUCAUAGUGACCCACAGCCAAGAGUUCUCCAUGCCAAGCCUUCUCCAACAGCAAACCAAAACACAGGUCCUAGGUGAUGUUAGAGUGCUCUCAGUUCAGUUGGAUUCCAAUAUCUCCACACAACUGCUAUUAAAGUGAAGAAAUUCACAGGCAAUUUGUGCAGAUAUCUCCUACAUCAUAACAAUGUUUUACUACAAUGCAGUGAACGAUAAAAUCGCUUAAUAAUGGCCAAAGGUCUUAGCUCUCUAGGGGAUGGGCAAGUAAAAAGGAACAACACUACAAUAUUCCUCACAGAAGCUAUUAAGAUUUAUUUCUACAUCUACAUCUCUAGUAGUAUGAUUCUAGUUACAGAAAUAUACUAAAAUACAUGGUAUGACUAGACUUUCAGCAUUUUUAAACAUCACCUUCUAGAGAAGAUGACCAAAUUGCAGUCCGCCCCAACUCCGCCCCAACCAGUCUGCCACAUGGAAGCAACAUGGAGAACUGAAACACCGAGCCGACUGAGCAACUCCAGCAGCUUGUGCCAAAGAAAAAUUUUGGCUUUAGUGAAGAUGACACCGAACAAGAAGAGGUGAAAUGUAAACAGCGCAGAAAAACUGUGUCAGCUACCAAAGAUAAUACCACCAAUCGGAUUCAACAGUAGCAGAAUCAGGACACAGACUCAAUCCGUUUGGUGUUUUUUAGUUCAUUUGAAACCCUGCUUAGGCCACAGCCCCCGAGUACUAGGAACGAGUACUGCUGCUCUUCAAAUUAUGGUAUGUGAGUGACUUUGGGAGCACAACAAAUCUAAGACUUCCAGCUCCAUGGCAAUAGAAGGACCUUCUCCUGCUCUGUCUACCAAGCAGUGGUGGGCAGGGUUCCACUAACUGCUAAUUAGUGUUAGCGGAUUAGCAUUUCCACUACCUUUGAAAAUCGAUAGCGGACCAAUUAGCUUCCGCAAAAUUUAGUUCCACUAACUGUAAAUCUGAUAACAUGUUUUCACAGGUAACGUAAAUAAAUUUUUACAGUCAGAAACAUUUGUAAAUUCUAAAAUCAUACAUAUUUGUUCCUGUCUGUUGUGAACAUUUCUACAGUAGACUAUCUGGCAUGCUGUUGCCUGACUACGGUACCCUAGUUUAAAUGGAUUUCAUCUUUGUUCACUUUAGCUCAGACUAACUUAAAUCUGACAAGUUAUCCGGCUAAGCAAGAAGCUUUUGUGAUACAGCCCCCUGGUUGUAUUUGCGGGUUCUGAUUGACAGCACUUUAGAUUAAUAAAGAGACAGAAUAUCGUACACAGAAAACUGCAACGCUAAUUUAUUCCGGAGACUCAACAGAAUCCAACAAUAUCCAACUGGGUAAGUCCUAAGUAUCCUCUGGCAAUCACUCUAGUCCGACAGAUGGGUUUAGAGUGUUAAAUGGGUUAAAUUUUAGCUCUCUAGGUAAGGUUAUUAGCUUUUUUUUAGUAAGCUUGGUUUAGCGUUAUUUAAUUAAAUUUUGGAGUAUGCCGAUUACCCAUUAUCGAAGCUAACUUUUUGGUUAGCUGUGCCCACCACUGCAACCCAGACCAUCCCCGUUUCUGAACCACCCGCCAUGAUUUGGAGAUGCAUAUUAUCUAGCCUGACCUUCCCAAAACCUGCUGUAAAAACCCUUUUCCAGGUAGCCAUCUGUCAUGUUUUGUAAUGGCCAAUGGUCAUAUGGUGUUUGUGUUGCCGUGAUGCUGAGCGUCCUCUGACCGCCAUUCUGGCCGGUAAGACCGUGCAGACGCUCUGCAUUUGCACCCCGGUGUGUAAAGUGGUGCUCAGUGCUAUCUGGUUAGUGUAUGUUUAAAGCUGUGGCCUGGGUCAGUGCUGGAGGACAUGAAAGCUCAUCUGUUAUGUGGAUAAACACAAGAAGCUUCAGACAGAAAAAUAUAAUUCAGUCAUUAUGGGUUAAAAAACGAAAAAAAAAAAAAAAACAAGACCCAAAGUCACACAACUGCGGUCAGAAUUAAUUGGAGCUCAUGCGCCUGCAGAAUGAUAACAGACAGGCAGCUCAGCACCGCUGGCCCUGUGGAUCCCAGCGAGUGACUGAUGGGGAUCAGAUAACGUGGGAGAUGCCGGGAGAGGGAUGCCUGGUCAUGCUUUAAUCUUCCAUCAUCAGCCGGGUCAGACAUGGGAGUCGUGGGCACUGUGCUGGAAAAGCGGUGACAGCAGAUCAAAGUGACCCACGCGGCUCCGAAGCACGGGGAGAAUGCAAGAGCGGCCGCUGAGAAUAGGAUUCUUUUUUUUCUUUUACGUCUUUCAGUACCUUCUUCCUUACAGCUGCAUGUGUAUUUACUCAGUAUUUCUGCUGUGUACUUGUGGAAGCAGCUUCGCCGUUCAGCCUUGUUUCUCACCAUCCUCACGUCUCACGAUGCAUCUUACCUACAUACAUUGGAUGGGAGAUAUGAGCUCACGGUGAAAUUUAAUUUUCCCAGCCUUAUCUCUGAGUUAAUUACCUCGCAGCGAAACACAUUUCAUUAGAUUGUAUUAAUUAAUCUCCAUUUUUUUGGGGGGUGGGACUACCUGCUGUGUGCGGUACUUUUGUGCAAUGCAGAUGAGGGGGGAUGUUAAAGGAGACUGAUGAGAAUUAAACCAUAUAGUUGUCUCCCUUUUGGCACUGAUAACCGAUAUCUUAAGAAGACUAUUAGAGCAAAACCUGAUUAGCAAUAUUCACUGCAGUUGGAGGGCAUUAUGUGUGUUCAUCUCAUAUCCUCCCUGAUGUCCUGACACACUCAGAAGUUGGCCUGUAGCAGCAAGCUGGCGGAUGAGGGCGUCUGCGUGCCAAGCUUCAUCCUCCGACACGUUUCAGCCAUCACAGCAAGACCAAAAUAGAUGCCAAAUAUGAAACGUUUUACAGAGCAUAUUCAUAAUCCAGCCAGAAAAUGAUUAAGUGAAAGGCCAUUUAACUCACUGUAAUGCAAAGGAAAUACUUAGGUUGCCUUAUUGAAUAGCCCUGCUGUCUUAGUGCUCGGCGCUUUGUAGAUGAGUCGCGUGGAGACUGUGGGCCUGGAAGACCCAGUGCAUGCUGGGACGUCAUGCUGAACCGAAGGAGAGGAGCCUCAGUACACAACCACCGGUAACCAGAGGCUUGCAGAAAAGAAGCAGACUGGUUUGGCUUUGAGUGGGCAAAGAAGCUGGGAAUAAUAGAUAUAGAAAUUGGGGCUCCUGACUGAAGUAGGAGCAAAUCUGAUGAAACAAGCCUCAGUGCAUGGACACUGCUGCUCUUCUACCAGACAUUAACCCCAGUGGUCAGAAUCGCCCCAACUGUAGCCCCAACAACUUGACACCUUUACUUAAUGUUUAGAUGCAUGGCAGCAGUAAGUAGGAGUUGGUGUCUGUUGUUAACAAAUAAUCUGUUGCUGGGAUCCUCUAAUUCACUGCUCACAUUGGCUUUGCCCAAACAGUUGGCCAGAUGCAGAAAGCCACAGCUGGAAUAGCCUGGAUGGUGCCUCUGGAUUCUGAUCUGAGUACAGUCUGCAUCCAUCAGUAUGGAGCAGUACAGAUUGACACCCUGCUGAUUUUACUUCAUGGCUUUUCACCCGGGCUUCCCGAGACUAACUGGAUGCCUCCAAGCAUCACAGCUGAGCAGGGAAUACAGAUACUGACCCCUCUGUUCUCGCUGGAUGGGCUGGACGUACCGAAAGCCUGAGGUUCUCGUCCACACCAUCCAUAUCCUCACCUUCCAAAUAAGCUUUUGCUCUUUCACACGGAAGGCCUUUUCUCCACCUUCGAUACAGCAAUGUGGGGGAUUUGACAUUUUCAAACUACCCUCCCCCAGAUAAGCAGACAUACAUCACUAAUGCUGGAGUUUCAGGUAAACCCGACCUUCUUCAGUGGCGUAUAUGAAGGCCUACCUUGGGAGGUCUGGGUGCAUAUAUAUUUCUUGAUCAAGGCAUCUGUAGUUUGUGUGUAAAGGCUGAGUGCAUAUUUCAGAGACUUCAGAUCUGGACUCUUCUCCAGGAAUGUCUUCUUCAGGCCGUUCCCACCCGCGUGGAAGUAUUGCUACAAACAGUGAAACAGACAGCCUCCAUUCAAACUCAGCAUUAUGUGUCUGAAACAAGUGGGUGAGAGACCGUGACACCUACUCUCCGGCCGACAAGCCUCAGCAUGGAUUGACUCCAUGACAGCAGAAGAGAACUGGCAAUGAUGACAACGAACACUCUUAAAACUCGUAUAUUACACACAUAUUGUAAUGACAGAAAUAUUCAAGUGUGAUGCAGAUAAUGGCAGAAAAAAUUGUUUAUUAUGGAGCUGGAUGCUCUGAGUGGAUCAAAUCGAAUCAAACGUUUACUUCUCAAAUGUACAAGCGUACAGUGAUAGUUACAGGUAAUUAAAUGAGUUUUGUCCACGGCA